UGGGGAAUAUUGGACAAUGGGCGCAAGCCUGAUCCAGCCAUGCCGCGUGAGUGAUGAAGGCCCUAGGGUUGUAAAGCUCUUUCACCGGUGAAGAUAAUGACGGUAACCGGAGAAGAAGCCCCGGCUAACAUCGUGCCAGCAGCCGCGGUAAUACGAAGGGGGCUAGCGUUGUUCGGAUUUACUGGGCGUAAAGCGCACGUAGGCGGACUAUUAAGUCAGGGGUGAAAUCCCGGGGCUCAACCCCGGAACUGCCUUUGAUACUGGUAGUCUUGAGUUCGAGAGAGGUGAGUGGAAUUCCGCGUGUAGAGGUGAAAUUCGUAGAUAUUCGGAGUAACACCAGUGGCGAAGGCGGCUCACUGGCUCGAUACUGACGCUGAGGUGCGAAAGCGUGGGGAGCAAACAGG
This 404-nucleotide ribosomal RNA is filed under the name Actinomycetes bacterium. RNAcentral's name for it is "Actinobacteria bacterium partial 16S ribosomal RNA". It matches the Rfam family "Bacterial small subunit ribosomal RNA", at positions 355 to 776 of the family's 1533-position model. Lineage: Bacteria; Bacillati; Actinomycetota; Actinomycetes. The record is from RNAcentral.